Mytilus californianus (California mussel) is the source of this 729-nucleotide long non-coding RNA. RefSeq lists it as uncharacterized. NCBI's taxonomy places the organism in Eukaryota, Metazoa, Mollusca, Bivalvia, Mytilida, Mytilidae. The transcript is spliced from 6 exons. The record is from RefSeq and is a predicted model, not a curated record.
CAUAAACUUUGUGGUUUGUUUUGAUCAAUUAAAUCUGCGCAAUUAGCUAUAUAUAGAAGUGCAAGUUUCAAAAUUGUAUUCUAAAAACCAGAAAGAUAUCAGGAUGUGGUGUGUUUUGGCUUUAACAUUGUCUGUAUUUGUCUUCGGAAGUGUAGACGCUGCAAAGGGUUGCAGAUGUAAAGGAGAAGUACUCAACCACGAACAAGAAUACUUUUGUAAUGCUGAUUUUGUACUUCGUGUAACUGUUCUGCGUCAAAAGAGAUUGAAUUACAACCGCGGAAUAAAAUACUUUGUGAGAGUUACUGAAGCAUUCAAAAGCAAUCUUUAUAAAGGAAAGGAAACUACUUUAAUUACUGGCACUGCUGCUCAAUGUGGUGUAGUCCUGGAUGGAAAGGACUUCCUUGUAACAGGAAACGUUGAAAAUGGACGAAAUACAUUAUCUUUAUGUAAUAGCUGGAUUGCAAGGUGGAGUACCUUGACAAAAUUGGAAAGAAGAACCCUAAGAACUGGAGGUUAUGCUAAGACAUGUACAAACAACUGUGACGUUGCAGUAAGAUGCUCUAAAGGGGACAUUAACUGCUGUAGGGUAUCCCAAGCACCAUGCCGAGGAACCGUUUGUAGCCGAAUCUAUGGGCGAAAAUGCGGAUGGACUUCCUGUUAUUGAUGUUACGGUUUUCCGUUAGCAAAAUAAAAUGUUUAGAACCAAAAUAAAAUCUUAUUGUGAUAUUA